GAUGAACGCUGGCGGCGUGCCUAAUACAUGCAAGUCGAGCGAACAGACGAGGAGCUUGCUCCUCUGACGUUAGCGGCGGACGGGUGAGUAACACGUGGAUAACCUACCUAUAAGACUGGGAUAACUUCGGGAAACCGGAGCUAAUACCGGAUAAUAUAUUGAACCGCAUGGUUCAAUAGUGAAAGACGGUUUUGCUGUCACUUAUAGAUGGAUCCGCGCCGCAUUAGCUAGUUGGUAAGGUAACGGCUUACCAAGGCAACGAUGCGUAGCCGACCUGAGAGGGUGAUCGGCCACACUGGAGCUGAGACACGGUCAAGACGACUACGGGAGGCAGCAGUAGGGAAUCUUCCGCAAUGGGCGAAAGCAUGACGGAGCAACGCCGCGUGAGUGAUGAAGGUCUUCGGAUCGUAAAACUCUGUUAUUAGGGAAGAACAAAUGUGUAAGUAACUAUGCACGUCUUGACGGUACCUAAUCAGAAAGCCACGGCUAACUACGUG
Molecule: ribosomal RNA, 497 nt
Filed under: uncultured bacterium
Lineage: Bacteria
Description: partial 16S ribosomal RNA
Rfam family: Bacterial small subunit ribosomal RNA
Source: RNAcentral